UCUCACACCUAUGUAUGCUAAGACAGGGUUCACAAAAGGGAUGGGAUCUCAAUCCACAUCCGGGUUAUAUUCAAGAUCCCUCUCUGGAUCUUCUUCUUCUUCAAAAGUCUUUCUCCCCUUCAGGUUCCUCUUCCUUAGCUUCUCCUCAGGGUCCUGAAAUGGUUAUUCAAUAACCAAUGAGACCACGUCUCAGCGAGUCCUACCCCCUAAGACUCGAUUAAUAAACUAAUACGCCAUACGGUUGCCUAAGCACAACACGAGUCAGAGGACUUACCUUGGCCUCAGUUCCAACCUGCAAUUCAAGGUUAAACACAGAUAUUCAAACAAUUCACGACAUCCGAUCAAGCACUGGUCAAUCGACUAAGUCGAUUACAUGUCAGUCAGACCCUCUCUAGGUCAUUCCCACUCAUACCACGCUUUCCCAGUGGUGUACUCAUUCACCAAAUCACAUGUGUUUCUCAGGCGUCGUUUUCACCAAUGACAUACCGAUCACCGACACCGUGCGUUCUUUAAGGCGUCGUUUUCACUAGUGAUAUCCUCGAUCACCGAACCACGUGUCCUUUCUAGGGCGCCGUUUUCGCCAAGGUGACAUCGGCUAUAGACAGCAUCGUGAGUUCUUUAAGGCGUCGUUUUCACCAGUGAUAUUUCCAUAAUCACCGAACCACAUUUGUCUAUAAGUCAUUUACGUGCGUUCUUUAAGGCACCGUUUUCGCCAGUGAUACUUCCAAUCACCGAACCACGUAUGUCCAAUAACAUCGUACCUGAUUG
RNAcentral lists this long non-coding RNA (768 nucleotides) under Eucalyptus grandis. RNAcentral describes it as "long non-coding RNA (EGRA_LNC006725)". Lineage: Eukaryota; Viridiplantae; Streptophyta; Magnoliopsida; Myrtales; Myrtaceae. The record is from RNAcentral.